RNAcentral lists this ribosomal RNA (439 nucleotides) under uncultured bacterium. RNAcentral's name for it is "partial 16S ribosomal RNA". It matches the Rfam family "Bacterial small subunit ribosomal RNA", at positions 339 to 795 of the family's 1533-position model. The record is from RNAcentral.
CUACGGGUCGCUGCAGUGGGGAAUAUUGGACAAUGGGGGAAACCCUGAUGCAGCAACGCCGCGUGGAGGAUGACACUUUUCGGAGCGUAAACUCCUUUUAUAUAGGAAGAAGAUGACGGUACUAUAUGAAUAAGCACCGGCUAACUCCGUGCCAGCAGCCGCGGUAAUACGGAGGGCGCAAGCGUUACUCGGAAUCACUGGGCGUAAAGAGCGUGUAGGCGGAUUAAAAAGUCAGAAGUGAAAUCCUAUAGCUUAACUAUAGAACUGCUUCUGAAACUCUUAAUCUAGAAUAUGGGAGAGGUAGAUGGAAUUUCUGGUGUAGGGGUAAAAUCCGUAGAGAUCAGAAGGAAUACCGAUUGCGAAGGCGAUCUACUAGAACAUUAUUGACGCUGAGACGCGAAAGCGUGGGGAGCAAACAGGAUUAGAUACCCCUGUAGUC